This 417-nucleotide long non-coding RNA is filed under the name Calidris pugnax (ruff). RNAcentral describes it as "lncRNA (ENSCPUG00000015034.1)". The record is from RNAcentral. Lineage: Eukaryota; Metazoa; Chordata; Aves; Charadriiformes; Scolopacidae.
CUACAGUUCAGGUGCUUUCCAUGUUUGCGAUGCUUUGGGUGGUUAUGCUUCUGAUUCCCACUUCAGAUAGUAGCAUUUUCUGUUUUGUCUAAUGAGUCAGGUCUCGUUAUUUGUCUUUUACUGACUUUGAUUAAUUUCAUUUCAUUUAGGGAACAAUUGGCCUGCAAGAUGGUGACCCAUUGUGUCCCAAUGCCUGUCCACCUGGCCGCCCAGGACAUGCUGGCUUAAUGGGAAUGAAGGGACAGAAAGGUUCAAAAGGAGAGUCUGGUGAACCAGGAAAACAAGGUUAUAAGGUAAAAAAAAAACUUCAGAGGAAAAAUUGCUGUUGUUUUUAGCAAGCUAAUAGUAGUUUAGCCUCUUCUUCAAAAACAGUGUUAUAUUUUGUUAGAACUAUUAAUUGUUUUACCAGAAUACAUG